UGAACGCUGGCGGCAGGCCUAACACAUGCAAGUCGAGCGGAUGAGAAGAGCUUGCUCUUCGAUUCAGCGGCGGACGGGUGAGUAAUACCUAGGAAUCUGCCUGGUAGUGGGGGACAACGUUUCGAAAGGAACGCUAAUACCGCAUACGUCCUACGGGAGAAAGCAGGGGACCUUCGGGCCUUGCGCUAUCAGAUGAGCCUAGGUCGGAUUAGCUAGUUGGUGAGGUAAUGGCUCACCAAGGCUACGAUCCGUAACUGGUCUGAGAGGAUGAUCAGUCACACUGGAACUGAGACACGGUCCAGACUCCUACGGGAGGCAGCAGUGGGGAAUAUUGGACAAUGGGCGAAAGCCUGAUCCAGCCAUGCCGCGUGUGUGAAGAAGGUCUUCGGAUUGUAAAGC
This 399-nucleotide ribosomal RNA is filed under the name Pseudomonas putida. RNAcentral describes it as "bacterial SSU rRNA". It matches the Rfam family "Bacterial small subunit ribosomal RNA", at positions 30 to 431 of the family's 1533-position model. Lineage: Bacteria; Pseudomonadati; Pseudomonadota; Gammaproteobacteria; Pseudomonadales; Pseudomonadaceae. The record is from RNAcentral.